GCCACAUUUAAUAGCCCCUCCUGGAUCACUCCCCCCUUAGACAAGGUCAGCCUGAGCCUGCUUUGGGCAUACCCUGGGGAAGAUAUGGAUUCCUGCAAUGUUUUGGACUGUGAGUACAUCAGGAUGAAGAGUCUGUGUUGGUGUUUGUGGUGUACAGGCUUCUGAUUCAGGUAUUCCUGCUGUGUUACACAAUAGCUGUCUCAUGCAGCAAGCACUAGAGAACUACAGCAGAUGAAGUGCUUGGUGACACGAAGGAACAAGCAGAUCUAUGAACAGUGGAAACAAUACAACAAGUUUUCCGACGUAUUUGUGCCACCUAGUAGUCUCCUUUAACAUCUAACAGCAUGAGUGGGGAAUCAAAUCUUCUGCCACUGCUGGGAUACUCACAGCAUCGCUCCACUGGGCAUAAUAUGGUGUCUAAUAAAGAAUUAACAGAACAGCUUGCUUCUCAGUUGGGUGCACACAUAAGCUGCAUCUACACUACUAAAUUAAACAAUACUAGGGAACGUU
RNAcentral lists this long non-coding RNA (510 nucleotides) under Gallus gallus (chicken). Its description in RNAcentral is "long non-coding RNA NONGGAT004575". Lineage: Eukaryota; Metazoa; Chordata; Aves; Galliformes; Phasianidae. The record is from RNAcentral.